This 253-nucleotide ribosomal RNA is filed under the name Faecalibacterium prausnitzii. RNAcentral's name for it is "partial 16S ribosomal RNA". It matches the Rfam family "Bacterial small subunit ribosomal RNA", at positions 524 to 776 of the family's 1533-position model. Lineage: Bacteria; Bacillati; Bacillota; Clostridia; Eubacteriales; Oscillospiraceae. The record is from RNAcentral.
AACGUAGGUCACAAGCGUUGUCCGGAAUUACUGGGUGUAAAGGGAGCGCAGGCGGGAAGACGAGUUGGAAGUGAAAUCUAUGGGCUCAACCCAUAAACUGCUUUCAAAACUGUUUUUCUUGAGUAGUGCAGAGGUAGGCGGAAUUCCCGGUGUAGCGGUGGAAUGCGUAGAUAUCGGGAGGAACACCAGUGGCGAAGGCGGCCUACUGGGCACCAACUGACGCUGAGGCUCGAAAGUGUGGGUAGCAAACAGG